GACGAACGCUGGCGGCGUGCUUAACACAUGCAAGUCGAACGCUGAAGCUCAGCUUUUGUUGGGUGGAUGAGUGGCGAACGGGUGAGUAACACGUGAGUAACCUGCCUCCUUCUUUGGGAUAACGCCCGGAAACGGGUGCUAAUACUGGAUAUUCACUGGUCUUCGCAUGGGGGUUGGUGGAAAGGGUUUUUCUGGUGGGGGAUGGGCUCGCGGCCUGUCAGCUUGUUGGUGGGGUGAUGGCCUACCAAGGCUUUGACGGGUAGCCGGCCUGAGAGGGUGACCGGUCACAUUGGGACUGAGAUACGGCCCGGACUCCUACGGGAGGCAGCAGUGGGGAAUAUUGCACAAUGGGCGCAAGCCUGAUGCAGCGACGCCGCGUGAGGGAUGGAGGCCUUCGGGUUGUGAACCUCUUUCGCUCAUGGUCAAGCCGCAACAAUGGUUGUGGUGAGGGUAGUGGGUAAAGAAGCGCCGGCUAACUACGUG
Molecule: ribosomal RNA, 483 nt
Filed under: uncultured bacterium
Lineage: Bacteria
Description: partial 16S ribosomal RNA
Rfam family: Bacterial small subunit ribosomal RNA
Source: RNAcentral